This 292-nucleotide ribosomal RNA is filed under the name uncultured bacterium. RNAcentral's name for it is "partial 16S ribosomal RNA". It matches the Rfam family "Bacterial small subunit ribosomal RNA", at positions 505 to 796 of the family's 1533-position model. The record is from RNAcentral.
GUGUCAGCCGCCGCGGUAAUACGUAGGGUGCAAGCGUUGUCCGGAAUCAUUGGGCGUAAAGCGCGCGUAGGUGGCUUCGUAAGUCCGUUGUGAAAGUCAAAGGCUCAACCUUUGAAUGCCGAUGGAUACUGCGAAGCUAGAGUACGGAAGAGGCGAGUGGAAUUCCUGGUGUAGCGGUGGAAUGCGCAGAUAUCAGGAGGAACACCAAUAGCGAAGGCAGCUCGCUGGGACGUUACUGACACUAAGGCGCGAAAGCGUGGGGAGCGAACAGGAUUAGAUACCCCCGUAGUCC